UGGGGAAUAUUGCACAAUGGGCGCAAGCCUGAUGCAGCCAUGCCGCGUGUGUGAAGAAGGCCUUCGGGUUGUAAAGCACUUUCAGCGGGGAGGAAGGCGAUAAGGUUAAUAACCUUGUCGAUUGACGUUACCCGCAGAAGAAGCACCGGCUAACUUCGUUCCAGCAGCCGCGGUAAUACGGAGGGUGCAAGCGUUAAUCGGAAUUACUGGGCGUAAAGCGCACGCAGGCGGUCUGUCAAGUCGGAUGUGAAAUCCCCGGGCUUAACCUGGGAACUGCAUUCGAAACUGGCAGGCUAGAGUCUUGUAGAGGGGGGUAGAAUUCCAGGUGUAGCGGUGAAAUGCGUAGAGAUCUGGAGGAAUACCGGUGGCGAAGGCGGCCCUCUGGACACAGUCUGACGCUCAGGUGCGAAAGCGUGGGGAGCAAACAGG
Molecule: ribosomal RNA, 429 nt
Filed under: Chloroflexota bacterium
Lineage: Bacteria; Bacillati; Chloroflexota
Description: Chloroflexi bacterium partial 16S ribosomal RNA
Rfam family: Bacterial small subunit ribosomal RNA
Source: RNAcentral